AACGCGAAGAACCUUACCCACCUUUGACAUGUACGGAAGUUACCAGAGAUGGUUUCGUGCUCGAAAGAGAACCGUAACACAGGUGCUGCAUGGCUGUCGUCAGCUCGUGUCGUGAGAUGUUGGGUUAAGUCCCGCAACGAGCGCAACCCUUGUCAUUAGUUGCUACGAAAGGGCACUCUAAUGAGACUGCCGGUGACAAACCGGAGGAAGGUGGGGAUGACGUCAAGUCCUCAUGGCCCUUAUAGGUGGGGCUACACACGUCAUACAAUGGCUGGUACAGAGGGUUGCCAACCCGCGAGGGGGAGCUAAUCCCAUAAAACCAGUCGUAGUCCGGAUCGCAGUCUGCAACUCGACUGCGUGAAGUCGGAAUCGCUAGUAAUCGCGGAUCAGAAUGUCGCGGUGAAUACGUUCCCGGGUCUUGUACACACCG
RNAcentral lists this ribosomal RNA (430 nucleotides) under uncultured rumen bacterium. RNAcentral's name for it is "bacterial SSU rRNA". It matches the Rfam family "Bacterial small subunit ribosomal RNA", at positions 958 to 1392 of the family's 1533-position model. The record is from RNAcentral.